AGUCACUGACAUUAGAUACCCCCGUAGUCCAGGGUGUAAACGCUGCAGACUUGGUGUUGGAGGUCCUUUGGGGCAUUCAGUGCCGGAGAGAAGUUGUUAAGUCUGCUACUUGGGGAGUACGUCCGCAAGGAUGAAACUUAAAGGAAUUGGCGGGGGAGCACCGCAACGGGAGGAGCGUGCGGUUUAAUUGGAUUCAACACCGUAAACUCACCAGGGAAGACUGUUACAUGAAAGCCGAGAUGAAGACUCUGCUAGAUUUUCAG
Molecule: ribosomal RNA, 263 nt
Filed under: uncultured archaeon
Lineage: Archaea
Description: partial 16S ribosomal RNA
Rfam family: Archaeal small subunit ribosomal RNA
Source: RNAcentral